Molecule: ribosomal RNA, 369 nt
Filed under: uncultured bacterium
Lineage: Bacteria
Description: partial 16S ribosomal RNA
Rfam family: Bacterial small subunit ribosomal RNA
Source: RNAcentral
UGGGGAAUUUUGGACAAUGGGCGAAAGCCUGAUCCAGCAAUGCCGCGUGUGUGAAGAAGGCCUUCGGGUUGUAAAGCACUUUUGUCCGGAAAGAAAUCCUUGGCUCUAAUACAGUCGGGGGAUGACGGUACCGGAAGAAUAAGCACCGGCUAACUACGUGCCAGCAGCCGCGGUAAUACGUAGGGUGCAAGCGUUAAUCGGAAUUACUGGGCGUAAAGCGUGCGCAGGCGGUUUGCUAAGACCGAUGUGAAAUCCCCGGGCUCAACCUGGGAACUGCAUUGGUGACUGGCAGGCUAGAGUAUGGCAGAGGGGGGUUAGAAUUCCACGUGUGAGCAGUGAAAGUGCGUAGAGAUGUGGAGGAAUACCGAU